Chelonia mydas (Green sea turtle) is the source of this 114-nucleotide long non-coding RNA. RefSeq lists it as uncharacterized. The record is from RefSeq and is a predicted model, not a curated record. Lineage: Eukaryota; Metazoa; Chordata; Testudines; Cheloniidae. The transcript is spliced from 2 exons.
AUACCCUCCCAAAGCGGGAUCCCUGACCCUGAAGCCAGAGAAGGCACCUUGGUGCAAAUGUUUUUAUGCUCCCCCUAUUAUCUCCGUCCCUGAGGAUAUCGCAGAUUAGAAGGC